This 261-nucleotide ribosomal RNA is filed under the name uncultured archaeon. RNAcentral describes it as "partial 16S ribosomal RNA". It matches the Rfam family "Archaeal small subunit ribosomal RNA", at positions 748 to 1009 of the family's 1478-position model. The record is from RNAcentral.
CAGCCGUAGACUAUGCUCGCUAGGUGUCAGGCAUGGCGCGACCGUGUCUGGUGCCGCAGGGAAGCCGUGAAGCGAGCCACCUGGGAAGUACGGCCGCAAGGCUGAAACUUAAAGGAAUUGGCGGGGGAGCACAACAACGGGUGGAGCCUGCGGUUUAAUUGGACUCAACGCCGGACGACUCACCGGGGACGACAGCAAUAUGUAGGCCAGGCUGAAGACCUUGCCUGAAUCGCUGAGAGGAGGUGCAUGGCGUAGACGUCU